GACGAACGCUGGCGGCGUGCCUAAUACAUGCAAGUAGAACGCACAGUUUAUACCGUAGCUUGCUACACCAUAGACUGUGAGUUGCGAACGGGUUAGUAACGCGUAGGUAACCUGCCUGGUAGCGGGGGAUAACUAUUGGAAACGAUAGCUAAUACCGCAUACUAUUAAUUAUUUCAUUAUAAUUAAUUGAAAGGUUCAAUUGCACCACUACCAUAUGGACCUCCGUUGUAUUAGCUAGUAGUUGAGGUAACGGCUCACCUAGGCGACGAUACAUAGCCGCCCUGCGAGGGAGACCGGCCACACAGGGACGGAGACACGGCCCAGACUUCUACGGCAGGCAGCAGUAGGGAAUUUUCGGCAAGCGACGAGAGUAUGACCGAGCAGCGCCGCGUGAGUGAAGAAGGUGUUCGGAUCGUAAAGCUCGGUUGUACGAGAAGAGCGGGUGUGGGAGUGGAAAGUCCACACUGUGACGGUAUCUUACCAGAAAGGGACGGCUAACUACGUG
RNAcentral lists this ribosomal RNA (505 nucleotides) under uncultured bacterium. RNAcentral's name for it is "partial 16S ribosomal RNA". It matches the Rfam family "Bacterial small subunit ribosomal RNA", at positions 28 to 507 of the family's 1533-position model. The record is from RNAcentral.